RNAcentral lists this long non-coding RNA (669 nucleotides) under Phasianus colchicus (ring-necked pheasant). Its description in RNAcentral is "lncRNA (ENSPCLG00000016957.1)". The record is from RNAcentral. Lineage: Eukaryota; Metazoa; Chordata; Aves; Galliformes; Phasianidae.
GAAACAGUGAAGCUCACAAAUUGUAUUUUGUUUUUGGCUAAUCACUGUGGCAAUACAGUUGUUAGUGCUCAUUUGGAGGACAACACAUUUAUACGGUUAUGCACCUAUUCAUUUUUUCUCUGCUUACAUAUCCAAACCACUUUCAUAGGAACUACUGAAGGGGAUAGAAUGGUAUUUCCAGAUUAUCCCUUAAUGCAGAGAAGAAAUAAUAAGUCUUUCAGACCAGUUUUAACUCCCUGAUUGUGGCAUCCAUCUAUUUUGGUACUAGUACCAAUCCUAGUAAGCCUGAUGCGCAUAAAGUAAAUUCAACUUGCACAAGCAAAAGCAAGUUGUUAUCACUGUGCUACAUGAAGGUUAUAUUGGAGAGGAUCCAUUGUAACUUCAGCCCUUCUUUUUUUUUUUUUUUUUUUUUUUUUGGUACUGACUGGCUGACAUCCCUACUAAUCUGGCUGCAGUACAAAAGUUCCACUUAUUUCCACACAAUUCAGAUCAGAAGCAGCAGGCCCAGUCACAGUGAGCAGCAUGGGGCCUCUCAGGAAGGGUACAGCUGCCACAGAUUCCUGGCUUAUCUGAGACUCACCAGCAUAACACCAGAUAGAAAGCUGAAGAAAUAAGAAAUGGGAAAAGGACUUCAUGUGGAUUUGAAUAUAUAUAUAUUACCAGAGAAGC